AUUUAAUUCAAGCCUAACUCAGCCCCUAGUUCUCCCCACUUAAUGGCUGCUCAGAGGCCUGUGUAAACUUGUUCACUGGUCUCGGUCCAGUCAUUGGUGGCCAACUGUCCAUGACCAACGGCCCAUUGUUUGCCUGGGAGGCACCGACUGCUGACAUGUGUGUUUCGUGUUCCUCUCCUGAUAAUGAGCUCAGGAUAUUGAAUGAAGAGUUGAGAAUUUAUGAAAACCUUAUGUGAAUUGCUCGUCUUCCCUACUGCAUGUCGGCCACCCUGCUGUGUUUUUUCUUUUAUGCCAAACAAAAUGGUCUCUUCAUUGUUGAAAGGGCUGGUAAAUGCCAAGAGAAUUCUCCUGCUGUAAAUGACAUUUUUGCUCUACCACUUCUUUUCAUCCAACUGAGUGAGCUCCAGCUACGUCCGUGGAAACGACGGCAGACUUUAUUUUUGGGGGCUCCAAAAUCACUGCAGAUGGUGACUGCAGCUAUGAAAUUAAAAGACACUUGCUCCUUGGAAGAAAAGUUAUGACCAACCUAGACAGUGUAUUAAAAAGCAGAGACAUUACUUUGCCAACAAAGGUCCGUCUAGUCAAGGCUAUGGUUUUUUCAGUGGUCAUGUAUGGAUGUGAGAGUUAGACUGUGAAUAAAGCUGAGUGCCGAAAAAUUGAUGCUUUUGAA
RNAcentral lists this long non-coding RNA (670 nucleotides) under Bos indicus x Bos taurus (hybrid cattle). RNAcentral describes it as "lncRNA (ENSBIXG00000015436.1)". Lineage: Eukaryota; Metazoa; Chordata; Mammalia; Artiodactyla; Bovidae. The record is from RNAcentral.